GACGAACGCUGGCGGCGUGCUUAACACAUGCAAGUCGAGCGGUAAGGCCCUUUCGGGGGUACACGAGCGGCGAACGGGUGAGUAACACGUGGGUGACCUGCCCUCAGCUCUGGGAUAAGCCUGGGAAACCGGGUCUAAUACUGGAUAUGACUCCAUGACGCAUGUUGUGGGUGGAAAGCCUUGUGCGGCUGAGGAUGGGCCCGCGGCCUAUCAGCUUGUUGGUGGGGUGAUGGCCUACCAAGGCGACGACGGGUAGCCGGCCUGAGAGGGCGACCGGCCACACUGGGACUGAGACACGGCCCAGACUCCUACGGGAGGCAGCAGUGGGGAAUCUUGCGCAAUGGGCGAAAGCCUGACGCAGCGACGCCGCGUGAGGGAUGAC
RNAcentral lists this ribosomal RNA (382 nucleotides) under uncultured bacterium. RNAcentral describes it as "bacterial SSU rRNA". It matches the Rfam family "Bacterial small subunit ribosomal RNA", at positions 28 to 412 of the family's 1533-position model. The record is from RNAcentral.